This 20-nucleotide non-coding RNA is filed under the name Arabidopsis thaliana (thale cress). The record is from RNAcentral. RNAcentral also lists the same sequence under 2 other names. Lineage: Eukaryota; Viridiplantae; Streptophyta; Magnoliopsida; Brassicales; Brassicaceae.
AGUGACGCGCAUGAAUGGAU